Molecule: non-coding RNA, 119 nt
Organism: Anolis carolinensis (green anole)
Lineage: Eukaryota; Metazoa; Chordata; Lepidosauria; Squamata; Anolidae
Source: Rfam
CAUUAGGGCCUAAAUACCCUACAGAGGUUAAAUCGCAUCUGAUCUUGGAAGCUAAGCAGGCUCAGCCCUGGUUAGUACUUGGAUGAGAGACCAUAAAUGAAUACCAGGUGCUGGAGGAU